RNAcentral lists this ribosomal RNA (274 nucleotides) under uncultured bacterium. RNAcentral describes it as "partial 16S ribosomal RNA". It matches the Rfam family "Bacterial small subunit ribosomal RNA", at positions 523 to 796 of the family's 1533-position model. The record is from RNAcentral.
AUACGUAGGUAGCGAGCGUUAUCCGGAUUUACUGGGCGUAAAGCGUACGUAGGCGGUUCGGCUAGUCUGUCGUGAAAUCUCCCGGCUCAACUGGGAGCGGUCGAUGGAAACUGCCGGACUUGAGGGACGUAGAGGUGAGCGGAAUUCCCGGUGUAGUGGUGAAAUGCGUAGAUAUCGGGAGGAACACCAGUGGCGAAAGCGGCUCACUAGGCGUUACCUGACGCUGAGGUACGAAAGCGUGGGGAGCGAACCGGAUUAGAAACCCCAGUAGUCC